GGAUUAGGCAUGCAAGUCGAACGAGGGAGCUGUUUCGAAAGGGACACAAACCGAGAUGGCGUAAGGGCGAGUUAAUGCAUUGAUAACCGUGCCGUUUGAGAUGGGGAUAACAACGUCGUCGCAAGAGACUUCCGAAAGGGUUGCCUAAUACCCAAUAAGACCUGUUGGUGCGGAGGUGCAUGAGAGUCAAAGGUCAUGGAGUGAAAGCUCCAUUUGCUUCAGAGAGGGGUCAAUGUCCGUAUCAGCGUAGUUGGUAGGGUAAAGGCCCUACCAAGGCGAAGACGGGUAGCCGGCCAUGAGAGGGUGGUCGGCCGCAUUGGGACUGAGACACUGCCCAGACUCCAUACGGGAGGCUGCAGUCGAGAAUCAUUUCGCAAUGCCCGCAAGGGUGACGAAGCGACGCCGCGUGUGGGAAGAAGGCCUUCGGGUUGUAAACCACUUGUCGGGAGUUAAGAAAGGUGUACGGGUAAAUAGUCCGUGCAUUUGACAAAAGCUCCGGAGGUAAGCCACGGCUAACUCUGUGCCAGCAGCCGCGGUAAUACAGAGGUGGCAAGCGUUGUUCGGAAUUAUUGGGCGUAAAGAGCACGUAGGCGGCCCUGCAAGUCAGCUGUGGGAAAGCCUCCUGCUUAACGGGAGAAGUGACAGUUGAAACUACGGGGCUAGAGUGCGGAAGGGGAGAGUGGAACUUCUGGUGGAGCGGUGAAAUGCGUAGAUAUCAGAAGGAACACCGGCGGCGAAAGCGGCAUCUCUGGUCCGUAACUGACGCUGAGGUGCGAAAGCCAGGGUAGCAAACGGGAUUAGAUACCCCUGGUAGUCCUGGCCGUAAACGAUGGGCACUAGGUAGAGGGGUUUUGAAUAUCUCUCUGCCUGAGCUAACGCGUUAAGUGCCCCGCCUGGGGAGUACGGCCGCAAGGCUAAAACGUCAAAAGAAUUGACGGGGGCUCGCACAAGCGGUGGAGCAUGUGGCUUAAUUCGAUGCAACACGAAGAACCUUACCGGGGCUCGACAUGACAGAAGUAGGAGUCCGAAAGGACAACCAACGGUAAUCCAGUCCGUAGCUGUCACAGGUGUUUGCAUGGCUGUCGUCAGCUCGUGUCGUGAGACGUUGGGUUAAGUCCCCUAACGAGCGAAACCCUUAGUCUUUAGUUGCCAACGGGUCAAGCCGGGCACUACUAAAGAGACUGCUGUCGUUAAGACGGAGAAGGUGGGGAUGACGUCAAGUCAUCAUGGCCCUUAUGUCCCGGGCUGCACACGUGCUACAAUGGUCGGUACAAAGGGAUGCUAAAUCGCAAGAUGGAGCGAAACCCAGAAAGCCGGUCCCAGUUCAGAUUGGAGGCUGAAACCCGCCUCCAUGAAGGAGGAAUCGCUAGUAAUCGCGGAUCAGCUAUGCCGCGGUGAAUAUGUUCCCGAGCCUUGUACACACCGCCCGUCAAG
RNAcentral lists this ribosomal RNA (1434 nucleotides) under uncultured bacterium. RNAcentral's name for it is "bacterial SSU rRNA". It matches the Rfam family "Bacterial small subunit ribosomal RNA", at positions 46 to 1401 of the family's 1533-position model. The record is from RNAcentral.